UGCUGCUAUACAACAGAGGACAAACUUUCCGAACGACAGCUCAUUCGCCACGAUUCGGUCCAGCAGGAAAAACGCGAGUGCGAAGAAAAGCGGACGUGAUUUACCAGUUUUGAUAAACGAUUGAAGUUUGAGAUAUAUUGAGACCAAAAGUAAGUGUAAAGUAGAUAUUAUAACCUGAAUACGGUCGAGUUCGCUUUCAAGUAUACAACAAGUGCGUAGUCAAAAUUUCUACUAUCACAGCGGGUGCACCAGAAUUGGGUUACAAGACAAUAUCUUUGUGCUGUUCAUUUUGCAUCGAUAGAGUGCAGAAAAACCUACCCUUGUCGGCAUUGGUAACCGACUUAAAAGAAAGCAAAGCCGAAAAAAAUAGUAAAGUGCGUAAAAUAGGUUAGCGCCUGUCUAAUAAAGUUGGUGCCGAAUGCGGAAUGGUCGGUGAAAAUUGCGACAGAUGUAGAAACACAAGUUAAUAUAUUCGGUGCUUUAGCUAUACUUCCCAAGCUGUGAAAUGUAAUACAAGUAAUAGGUUUUCAAAUGCGCUAACAGUGGCAAUGUGUGUUCUAAUAAUGCAGCAAAAUGCAGAUGUGUGAUACUGCGUGAAUCAUAAUACUGAAAUGUUCACAAAUAUUCUGGCUGCCAACGACAAAUCGUGAAUCGAUCGGGAGAUACAUAUCACGCGACCACUUUGAAUAAGCAGUGGUCACCAUUGGAUUAUAUUGAGUAGAACGCAAUUAAAUAUUUACGCGUUGCCUGAGCAAAACCACAAGUCUCAACUUAAAAACAACUGCCUAGUUGAAACGUAAAUCAUACGGCGUCACCAUGCAUUCAUUCGGUAUUCAUUCGGCGUUGGCCAUCAAGCGCCAGCGGAAGCGGCGGGACAAUCAGCGCAAGGCCCGUGAACGCCGCUACAGUAUUCAAAGCACGGAAAGUUGGGAUACACACUCACCCCAUGGCUCGACUCGGCGAAAGUUCCACCCGCACAAAGUGCAUGUCACAGAUAAUAAUAACCUAGAUACCAAAGUAGUCACAAGCAUUGGUAUGCUUCAUAUAGGAGUUGUAUUUGUAGUAUUCGGAAUCUUUUUACUAGGUGCUGGAUUUUUUCCGGAUAAUUUAUCAAAUCAACCUACACAAUCGUGGCAUUGGCUGGGUAAAGACUCGUGGUGGAAUGAACUGGUAUGUACGGGACUGUUCGCCGUCGGCCUCGGUAUCUUUCUCAUCAUAUUAAACUGUGUGAUAAGUAAUCGGGAGGAACAGGACCUCGAGGACUACGUCCAGCGGCAACUCACGCGAUCGAGAUCGGGUCAUCGACUGGAACGCGAUGUCGAGACUGGUGGCCUUACAACACGCCAUCACCGCAAAGCCAUGCAAAUACAAAAAGGCGCUGCCGAGAGAGGUUUGGAUGAUCUCUCUAACUCGAACAUUCUUCUGACACCAACCAGCAGCGAAGUUGUCACUCCUACAACCCCUUCGGGAGUGUCCACCGUGUCUGUAAUACCCCUCAUGAGUUAUAAACCACAUGUUGAGAUAUUGAUGUGAUAUUACCGCAACGUUAUUCGUAUCGUCUCGUUCUAAGCCUCCAAGCUCGCAGUAACAUCAAUAGCCAAUACAUGCUAAAACAUCGGUAAUAACGAUAAUUACUCUAUUUAAUAUUUGCCACUAACAAUGAUGAAAGCAAUCACUACCAGAGAGUACAAACUAACCAUAAGUGUUUUAAAAUCUAAACCAUCAAUCCUAAUCUGAAUCCACUGUUCGAGUUGAGUGAUAAUUUUACCAGAAAUCGAAAAAAAAACAGAAGGUGACGAUUUCGUUUAACAGCAAACUACAUAGUGUGGAAAAAUCUCAUCUAAAACAAAAAUAAACUACGUUUGCAAGCUUUGGUACUAGGAGCAUCAGGAGAGAUUUUAUUGGAGAAGAUCCUGGAAGAAGACAGUAGCUACGGCGAUCCAGAUUGUUAUUCUCGUAACAACGGCCAAUCGCCACCAGGUGUGGACAACGACAAGCGGUUGCUACUCGGCAAUG
This is an RNA transcript of Wyeomyia smithii (pitcher-plant mosquito), 2016 nucleotides long. RefSeq lists it as uncharacterized. The record is from RefSeq and is a predicted model, not a curated record. The transcript is spliced from 7 exons. Lineage: Eukaryota; Metazoa; Arthropoda; Insecta; Diptera; Culicidae.